GUCCACGCCGUAAACGAUGUCGAUUUGGAGGCUGUGUCCUUGAGACGUGGCUUCCGGAGCUAACGCGUUAAAUCGACCGCCUGGGGAGUACGGCCGCAAGGUUAAAACUCAAAUGAAUUGACGGGGCCCGCACAAGCGGUGGAGCAUGUGGUUUAAUUCGAUGCAACGCGAAGAACCUUACCUGGCCUUGACAUGUCUGGAAUCCUGUAGAGAUACGGGAGUGCCUUCGGGAAUCAGAACACAGGUGCUGCAUGGCUGUCGU
RNAcentral lists this ribosomal RNA (262 nucleotides) under uncultured bacterium. RNAcentral's name for it is "partial 16S ribosomal RNA". It matches the Rfam family "Bacterial small subunit ribosomal RNA", at positions 793 to 1055 of the family's 1533-position model. The record is from RNAcentral.